This 465-nucleotide ribosomal RNA is filed under the name uncultured bacterium. RNAcentral describes it as "partial 16S ribosomal RNA". It matches the Rfam family "Bacterial small subunit ribosomal RNA", at positions 338 to 795 of the family's 1533-position model. The record is from RNAcentral.
CCUACGGGAGGCAGCAGUGGGGAAUAUUGCGCAAUGGGCGAAAGCCUGACGCAGCGACGCCGCGUGAGGGAUGAAGGUCUUCGGAUCGUAAACCUCUGUCAGCAGGGAAGAACGGUCACUGUGCUAAUCAGCAGUGAAUUGACGGUACCUGCAAAGGAAGCACCGGCUAACUCCGUGCCAGCAGCCGCGGUAAUACGGAGGGUGCGAGCGUUAAUCGGAAUUACUGGGCGUAAAGCGCUCGUAGGCGGUAUGUCAAGUCAAGGGUGAAAUCCCCGCGCUCAACGUGGGAACUGCCUGUGAAACUGGCAAACUGGAGUGUGUGAGAGGAUAGUGGAAUUCCAGGUGUAGGAGUGAAAUGCGUAGAUAUCUGGAGGAACAUCAGUGGCGAAGGCGACUAUCUGGCACAUAACUGACGCUGAGGAGCGAAAGCGUGGGUAGCAAACAGGAUUAGAUACCCGGGUAGUC